AUUGAACGCUGGCGGCAUGCCUUACACAUGCAAGUCGAACGGCAGCACGGACUUCGGUCUGGUGGCGAGUGGCGAACGGGUGAGUAAUGUAUCGGAACGUACCUUUCAGUGGGGGAUAACGUAGCGAAAGUUACGCUAAUACCGCAUAUUCUGUGAGCAGGAAAGCAGGGGAUCGCAAGACCUUGCGCUGAUUGAGCGGCCGAUAUCAGAUUAGCUAGUUGGUGGGGUAAAGGCCUACCAAGGCUACGAUCUGUAGCGGGUCUGAGAGGAUGAUCCGCCACACUGGAACUGAGACACGGUCCAGACUCCUACGGGAGGCAGCAGUGGGGAAUUUUGGACAAUGGGGGCAACCCUGAUCCAGCCAUGCCGCGUGAGUG
Molecule: ribosomal RNA, 377 nt
Filed under: uncultured bacterium
Lineage: Bacteria
Description: bacterial SSU rRNA
Rfam family: Bacterial small subunit ribosomal RNA
Source: RNAcentral